UAUGUCUAGUGGCGGACGGGUGAGUAAUGCAUGAGAACGUAUCCUCAAGAGGGGGACAACAUUGGGAAACCGAUGCUAAUACCCCAUAAGCCGGGAGGUAAAAGGAGCAAUCCGCUUGAGGAGCGGUUCAUGUCCUAUCAGCUGGUUGGUGAGGUAACGGCUCACCAAGGCGAAGACGGGUAGCCGGCCUGAGAGGGUGAACGGCCACACUGGAACUGAGAGACGGUCCUUUACUCCUACGGGAGGCAGCAGUGGGGAAUA
RNAcentral lists this ribosomal RNA (261 nucleotides) under uncultured bacterium. Its description in RNAcentral is "partial 16S ribosomal RNA". It matches the Rfam family "Bacterial small subunit ribosomal RNA", at positions 87 to 363 of the family's 1533-position model. The record is from RNAcentral.